UUAAUUGAAGCCAAAGAGAGGCAUACCACUGUUAAUGGUAUUAUUGAAUAAUAUAAAUUCCAAUUAAA
Molecule: transfer RNA, 68 nt
Filed under: Trichophthalma punctata
Lineage: Eukaryota; Metazoa; Arthropoda; Insecta; Diptera; Nemestrinidae
Description: tRNA-Asn
Source: RNAcentral